RNAcentral lists this ribosomal RNA (458 nucleotides) under Troglohyphantes gracilis. RNAcentral describes it as "partial large subunit ribosomal RNA". It matches the Rfam family "Bacterial large subunit ribosomal RNA", at positions 1830 to 2600 of the family's 2925-position model. Lineage: Eukaryota; Metazoa; Arthropoda; Arachnida; Araneae; Linyphiidae. The record is from RNAcentral.
UUUUUAUAAAAUUGUUAUAAGUAAAAUUUGCUCAAUGUGUAUAUAUAUAUAUAUAUCUAUAUAAAUAGCCGCAGAACUUUAACUGUGCUAAGGUAGCAUAAUCAUUUACCUUUUAAUUAAAGGUUUGCAUGAAUGAUUUAACAAUUAAAUAACUUUUUUAUCCUUAAAAAUUUAAUUUAAAUUAAGAGUAAAAAUAUUCUUAUUAAAAAAAAAGACGACAAGACCCUAAUGAACUUUACUAAUGUUAAGCUGGGGAAGCUAGUCAAAUACAAUUUUGACUUAAUUUUUUAAAAAAUUUUCUGGAAACCCAAUCUAAAUAAGUUACCAUAGGGAUAACAGCGUAAUAUGUUUUUAAAGCUCUUAUUAAAAAAAAAGAUUACGACCUCGAUGUUGAAUUAGAAUUACUAUAAAUCGCAAUAGUGCUAAAAGUGGGUCUGUUCGACCUUUAAACUUCUACA